RNAcentral lists this long non-coding RNA (9378 nucleotides) under Olea europaea (common olive). RNAcentral's name for it is "long non-coding RNA (OEUR_LNC003381)". Lineage: Eukaryota; Viridiplantae; Streptophyta; Magnoliopsida; Lamiales; Oleaceae. The record is from RNAcentral.
CAACGUCUUGCAAACAAUGUUUUCACAGCAAUGCCAAGGAAAUAGGCUUCAUCAAGUAUCACUAAGCAGUCAAGCCAAGUUUUGCACUAGAGGAAGAUUUUUCUUAAUGGGAUGCUUUUAAUGUAACACCCCGACCUCUUGUGGAUCGGAACGCUACUUACUUUACUUAACUAACCAGUGGUUUAGUCAUAAGAGAAUAUGUUUUAGCGGAAGCUUAAUUUUUACAAUGAUAAUUUUAACAACAACCUUUCGAAUACUUUAAAUAAAACACUGAAUAAAAAAAAACGGAACAUAAUUUAUUUAAAGAAAACACAACUUGUUCUUGCGUUCAGCAUUAUUCAAAUACUUUAAAGAAAUAACAUUAAAAACGUUCACAAAAAUAAAUCUAAAUAACUUGUUCACCGGGUUUUCCACGGGCUCGUUGCACCACUCUCCAUCUUUUCCAUCAUCCAAACCCAAGGUAGAAUCAUAUCAAUCUGUAGAGAAGGGGUUAAACACGUGAGUUAAAAAUACUCAAUAGAUAUCAUUGGUGCAUUCGUGAUCAAGCUAUACAUUUCAAAGCUGUAACUUUAGAAACCUUUUCAUAGUAGGAUUUUCGGUAGAAUCCCAAACACGUAGAAUCAUGACUUAAAACGACGCCUCAAUCGGAAGUACAUGCCGUACCCGGAGGUACCAUUAGACAUGGAGGUGUAUGCCGUACCGGAGGUACCAUUUUUCAAAUAGAAUGUUUUCUAUGUUGUAAAUGGGUCUCAAAUGAGACUAAAAAAUCUGAAGUAUAUUUUAGCCAUCCAAUAUUCAUAUCUUAGUGCCACUAAGGUGUUUAAAAUUAUUUGAGGUUCUACAUCCCCACACCUUAAUUAAAAUUUCGUCCUCGAAAUUUACCUUAUGAUUAGGCAAAUAGUGUUGGAUACUUGUUUUUGGCUUCCUCUUCCCCUUCCCAAGUGGCCUCUUCUAUUUCAUGAUUAUUUCAUUGAAUUUUGACCAAUUGAAUUUCUUUGUUCCUUAGUUUAUGUGCCUUUCGAUCCAAUAUCCUAAUUGGUACCUCUUCAUAGGAUAAGUCCUUUUGUACUUCCACGGACUUAUAGUUCACUGCAUGAUUAGAAUCAUGCACGUAUUUCUUGAUCAUUGAUACAAUUAACACGUUGUGCACUGUCGAUAACCCAGGUGGGAGAGCUAACCAAUAGGCUACAUUUUCGACCCUAUCAAGUAUCUCGAAUGGUCCGAUAUAGCGGGGUCGUAGGUUUCCUUUCUUGCCAAACCUAAGUACACAUUUCAUCGGUAUCACUUUCAGAAACACUUUUUCUCCAACUUUAAAUUCUAAAUCCUUCAUCCUUGUAUUUGCAUAGCUCUUCUGUCGAUCCUGUGCUGCCUUUAUCCUUACACGGAUCUUAUCGAUUGCCUCACCUGUCCUUUCAAUUAUUUCUGGUCCCUAAACUCUCUUUUCCCCAACUUCAUCCCAAUGAACAGAGGACCUACAUCUUCUACCGUAGAGAGCUUCGUAUGAUGCCAUCCCGAUAGUUGCUUGAAAGAUAUUAUAUGCGAAAAUGGUUCAUCUCCUGAUUUCUGAAAUGAUACCUCCCUUUCCUUACAUCGGAUGGUGGCGUAAUUACAACCUAACUAAUCCAUGCCUAGUAUUACAUCAAAAUCCUUCAUUUCUAUCAUGUAUAGGUUCGCUUCCAUUGGUUUUCCCUCAACUUCAAUACUUACUGAUUUGGCUAUUCUAUCAGUACUCAAAGGGUUGCCUGAAGGAAUGCUAAUCUCUAAUGUACCUUCCGACUUAUCACAGGUAAUACUAGAUUUAACCAUAAAAGUUGUCGACACAAAGGAGUGUGUGGCUCCUGAAUCAAACAAUACAUAAGCAGGCAUAUUGACUAUCAAUAAAGUACCUGCUAUGACGUUCGAGUUUUCCUCUGCAUCUUUUUGAGUCAUUGCAAAAACUCGUGCUUUCCCUUUCUGGUUCCGGUCAUUGUUAUCAUCCUCCUUCGGGGUAAAUGUGGGCAAUCCUUAAAAAUAUGCCCUGACUUGUCAAAUCUGAAACAGACAUUCUUCCCUUGCAAACACACGCCACGAUGCGUCUUUCCACACUUAGGACAUGGCUCUAUAACUGGCACAAUGCUCUUGUUGGCAUUGGUUCCGCCAUUAGCUUUCUUGUUCUACCACUUGCCCUUUCCCUUGUCCUGGCCAUUCCAUUUCCUUUUACCCAUACUGCCAUUGUCCAAUUGAUUGAACAGUUGACUAUAUUGCUCGGUGCUAGUCUUCUGGUACCAGAUAGCAUGAGCUCUUUCCAGCAUUUCACGAUAUGAGGUGAAACGAUGGGACAUAAGUAUCAUGCUUAUAUCUAGGUUCAACCCUUGUUCAAACCUCCUGACUUUCUUGUCCUCCGUAUCCAUCAGAUGUGGAGCAUACCUUGAAAGUUGGUUAAACUUCCUUUCAUACUCAGUCAGGGACAUAGUCCUUUGCUUGAGUUGGAGAAAUUCACUUUCUUUGUGACCCCUCAAAGACUGUGGGAAAUACUUGUCCAUUACUUCCUCUUUAAAUCGCUCCCAAGUCAAUUCCGCUUGCUGCUCUGGGAUCCUUGUCCUUGACAUCGAGUCCCACCAGUGGCUUGCAUCACCGGAGAACAUAAACUCAGCACAUUGGACCUUCUGGGCGUCCGUGCAACCUGUUAAUCGAAAUAUUCUCUUCAACUUGCGAAGCCACUCCUCGGCUACAAGUGGAUCAGCUGCUCCAUUGAAGGUAGGGGGCUUGUGUCUUCUAAAUUGCUCGACCACUAAAGCAUGGGUUGGAGGAACAUUAGGAGCCAGUGGUAGGGGUUGCGCCUGGUUCGGGUUUUGCCUGUCAAGAUCUUGGACCGCUUGAAGGAGAUCUCUUAUCAAGUUGGUUUUGGUUUGUGCGGGCCAUUUUCCUUUAGACAAAACGUAUGGUUGUUAUUAGUUUUAUACUUUGAAUUCUAAAUCUUUCCUCCUUGUAUCCGCAUAGCUCUUCUGUCGAUCCUGUGCUGGCUUUAUCCUUGCACAGAUCUUAUCGAUUGCCUCAACUAUCAUUUCAAUUAUUUCUGGUCCCAAAACUCUCUUCUCCUUGAAUUCAUCCCAAUGAACAGGGGACCUACAUCUUCUACCAUAGAGAGCUAAAAACGGUGCCAUCGUGAUAGUUGCUUGGAAGCUGUUGUUAUAUGCGAAUUCUACUAGGGCUAUGUAUGACUCCCAACUACCUCCUAGAUCCAAAACACAUGCUCUCAGCAUGUCUUCCAGAGUUUGGAUGGUCUUUUCAGAUUAACCAUCGGACUGAUGGUGAUAUGCUGUACUAAAGUUUAGCUUCGUUCCCAUAGCUCCUUGUAGAUUUUUCCAAAAUUUGGGCGUGAACCUUGGGUCUCUGUCAGACACAAUGGACACAGGUACGCCGUGCAAUCUCACAACCUCCGUAAUGUAUAACUGUGUCAAUUGGUCUAAACUGAAUGUCAUUUUCACUGGAAGAAAAUUAGCUGACUUUUUUAAUCGAUCCACUAUUACCCAUACAGCGUUGUUUCCUCUUGCUGACUUCAGGAAUCCAACCACAAAGUCCAUUGUUCCAUUUGGGUAUGUCCAGUGGAUUUAACAAUCCAGCCGAUUUUUGGUGUUCUGCCUUAACCUGUUGACAUACCAUACACUUUUUCACGUACAAUCCUAUACUUCUUUUCAUAUUUCUCCACCAAAAUGUAUCUCGAAGGUCUCGAUACAUUUUCGUACCACUGGGAUGUGCGGUGUACGGGAUGGAAUGGGCCUAAUAUCUCGUUUCUCAACGCUUCAUCCUUAGGAACGCAAAUUCUCCCCUUAAACAUUAGUGCCUGAUUCGAAGCUAUUCCAAAAGCCUUUCUCUUAUCAGUGCCAAUUUCAUUCUUGAUCUUCAACAAGAAUGGGUCAUUACCUUGUGUCUCUAUAAUUCGAUCUCUAAGAAUAGGUCAAAUUAUCAAAGCUGCUAGACAAGCAAUGACUUGUCCUGGUAUGGUAACCACUUCGAUCUGCAACUUUUCCAAAUCCUUGACUAACUCCAUUUGAAAAGUGGGUAGUGAUGCCAACGGUCCCAUUGAUUUUCUACUUAAGGUGUGGGCCACAACAUUAGCCUUACCUGGAUGGUAACGAAUAGUGCAAUCGUAAUCAUUCACCAAUUCCAAUCAUCGUCUUUGUCGCAUAUUCAAUUCCUUCUGUGUGAAUAAAUAUUUGAGACUCUUGUGAUCUGUGUAGAUAUCGCACUUCCCUCCAUACAAGCAGUGUCGUCAUAUCUUCAAGGCGUGUACUACCCCAUAAGUUCUAAAUCAUGCGUCGGGUAAUUCUGUUCAUGUUUCUUCAAUUGUUUUGAUGCAUAGGCUAUCACUUUUCCAUUCUUCAUCAGCACACAUCCCAAUCCUUGCUUGGAUGCAUCACUGUAUAUAACAAACCCUUCCGUACUCUCAGGUAUUGUUAACACGGGUGCUGAUAUCAACCUCUGUUUAAGUUCUUGGAAACUUUGUUCACAUUUAUCCGUCCAUUGAAAUUUUACUUCCUUCCUUGUAAGCUGUGUCAUUAGUCUAGUUAUUUUGGAGAAUCCUUCUAUGAAUCUCCAAUAAUAUCCUGCUAAUCCUAGAAAGCUCUGUACCUCGCCAGCAUUAGUUGGUGCUUUCCAGUUGGUUACUACUUCCACUUUCGCUGGAUCUACCUCAAUCCCUUGGGCAGUGACUAUAUGUCCAAGAAAUCCAACUCGUUCAAGCCAGAACUCACACUUCUUGAAUUUGACAUAGAGCUUUUCCUUACAUAAUACCUCUAAUGCUAUUCUUAGGUGCUCUUCAUGUUGCUCCCUACUCAUGAAAUAUAUUAGAAUGUCAUCAAUGAAGACUAUGACAAAUUUAUCCAAGUACUGAUGAAAUACACGAUUCAUCAGGUCCAUGAACACUGCAGGUGCAUUGGAUAGCCCAAACGGCAUCACUGUAAACUCUUAGUGUCCAUAACGAGUUCUAAAAGCUGUCUUGGGUAUAUCCUUGGACUUUACUUUCAAUUGAUGGUAUCCCGAUCGUAAGUCGAUCUUGGAAAAUACCUUAACUCCUUUCAGUUGAUCUAACAGAUCCUCGAUUCUCGAGAAUGGGUACUUUUCUUGAUAGUUAAUCGAUUUAACUCCCUAUAAUCGAUGUACAUCCUCAUACUUUCAUCUUUUUUCUUCACGAACAACACCGGCGCACCCCAUGGAGAUACACUUGGCCGUAUAAAGCUCAUAUCUAGGAGUUCUUGCAACUGCUUCUUUAACUCUUGUAGUUCCUUCGGGGCCAUUCGGUUUGGGGCUUUUGACACUAGUGCCGCUCCGAGAAUUAGGUCUAUGAUGAAUUCCACUUGCCUAUCUGGUGGAAUACUAGAUAGAUCUUCUGGAAACACAUCUACGAAUUCCCUUACUAUUGGUACGUCUUCAACCUUUAUCGUCUCCUAUUUCCCUCCUGAGAUGUUUACUAAAUAUCCGUGACAUGUUUCUUUUCUCAACAUCUUCUCAGCUUGUAAAAUCGAUACUAGUCGAAUAAGGGGUUUCGUCUUCAUCCCAAGGAACGAAAAUGGUUCCUCUCCUGAUUUCUGAAAUGAUACCUCCCUUUCCUUACAUCGGAUGGUGGCGUAAUUACAACCCAACCAAUCUAUGCCUAGUAUUACAUCAAAAUCCUUCAUUUCUAUCAUGUAUAGGUUCGCUUCCAUUGGUUUUCCCUCAACUUCAAUACUUACUGAUUUGGCUAUUCUAUCAGUACUCAAAGGGUUGCCUGAAGGAAUGCUGACCUCUAAUGUACCUUCCGACUUAUCACAGGUAAUAUUAGAUUUAGCCAUAAAAGUUGUCGAUACAAAGGAGUGUGUGGCUCCUGAAUCAAAUAAUACAUAAGCAGGCGUAUUAGCUAUCAAUAAAGUACCUGCUAUGAUGUUCGAGUUUUCCUCUGCACCUUUCUGAGUCAUUGGAAAAACUCGUGCUUUCCCUUUUUGGUUGCUUGCAUCACCGGAGAACAUAAACUCAGCACACUAGACCUUUUGGGCAUCCGUGCACCCUAUUAAUCGGAAUAUUCUCUUCAACUUGCAAAGCCACUCCUCGGCUGCAAGUGGAUCAGCUGCUCCAUUGAAAGUAGAGGGCUUGUGUCUUCUAAAUUACUUGACUACUGAAGCAUGGGUUGGAAGAACAUUAUGAGCUAGUGGUAGGGGUUGCGCCUGGUUCGGGUUUUGCCUGCCAAGGUCUUGGACCGCUUGGAGGAGAUCUCUUAUCAAGUUGGUUUGGUUUGUGUGGCCAUUUUCCUUUAGACAAAACGUAUGGUUCUUAUUAGUUUCAUACUUCGAAUUCUAACAAAGAAAAUAAAGUUUUAUUUCUUGACAUAAAUGAAGUUGUUACAAGGAUUUAAAUCUAAUCCCUAUAAGUUCUACGAAUCUUCUUUGGUGGAGCUUCAUCUCCAGAGGAGUCUUCUGUCUCAGGUCCGGAUUCUAUGUCCAUCUCAACCUGUGGCUCGAGCUCAGGAUCAUUCCCUCUGCAGGCUCUUCUUCUUCAUCAAGUUCAAUUACUAUCUCCGGUUGAUGUUCUAAGUUUUCCCUUCAUAGCUCUAGGAGUUAUUGGCAAUACACUUCAAACUCAAAUAUAUUUGGGUGCUCUUCUAGCAUUACAUCCCUAACCGUGACUCUUAUAUCUCCCCAUUGAGGUGAAAGGGAGUGUAUGAGGUUAUUUAUAACCUCAAUAUGCGUUAUCUCCAUUCCAGCGUUCACCGCUGUCAUGCAUCUCUCAUAGACAUCAUGUAUAUGUUCGUUAAGUGGACGGAGCAGAUCAGUCACGUAAUUCUCAUAGGACUGAAUGUCGAUUCUACGGUUCAAUGCUCAUCUAUAUGCCAUCGCCGUUCUACGAGCCAUAUCUGUUGUAUUUUCACAUAUCAUACACUUUUUUUUUACUCUUGGAAAAAUGGCUACUGUUACAUAACAUUCUACCUAUAAAUUCUAGCCCAAUGCGUAUCUUUUGAAAAAAAACGCAUCUUUUAAAUUAUUUCUAACUGACAUAGUAUAUCUUUAAAAAUAAGCAUAAGUUGUAUCAUAGCAUCGCAAAGCAUCAUAACAUAGUCUUUUCAUGAAAACAUUAAGUUUGAACAUACAUGGGCCGUAGGAUGAGAUUGAUGGAUGGAUGCAAGAUGUCAUGGAGUAUCUUAGACUUUUUCAUUUUUAAAAAAAAAACAUACUUGGUCUACAGAACCGGCUAAACCCUUUUUAAAAAAAAAUACUUGGUCUACAAAACAGAUUAAACCGUGCUCUGAUACCACGCUGUAACGCCCAGACCCCUUGUGGACCGAAGCGCUACUUACUUAACUAAACGGUGGUUUAAUCUUAGGAGAAUAUGUUUUAGGGGAAGCUUAAUUUUUACAAUGAUAAUUUUAACAACCUUUCGAAUACUUUAAAUAGAACACUGAAUAAAAAAAAUGGAACGUAAUUUAUUUGAAGAAAACACAACAACGAUUCAAAUAUUUUAAAGAAACAACAUUGAAAACAUUCACAAAAAUAAAUCUAAAUAACUUGUUCACUGGGUUUUCCACGGGCUCAUUGCACCUCUCCAUCUUUUCCAUCAUCCAGACCCAAGGUAGAAUCAUAUCAAUCUGUAGAGAAAAGGGCUAAAUCCGUGAGUUAAAAAAACUCAAUAGAUAUCAUUGGUGCAUUCAUGAUCAAGCUAUACAUUUCAGAGCUGUAACUUUAGAAACCUUUUCAUAGUAGGAUUUCCGGUAGAAUCCCAAACACGUAAAGUCAUGACUUAACACGACGCCUCGACCGGAAGUACAUGCCGUACCCCGAGGUACCAUUAGACAUACAAACAUUAACAUAAAUCUUCAUUUGUUAGAAACUUAUAACUUAACACGAAUUAACACUUUGCACCUUUACCUACCUUGAUUGAUGCUUUGAACCUUGUUGAAAAUGCACUCUUUUGAUAUUUCAAAAAAACACUCCAUUGAGAAUUAAUACUUGGAAAACACUUCUUGAUAGGACCAAAAUUUCUAGAAAAAACUAAUUUUCCUCCCUCAUCUUUCUCUUUUUUUUUAAGACUUGAAAGCUCUCUCUUUUAUGCUUACAAGCUUUUGUCUUGCUGUGAAAAAUAUGUAUGCAUUAGAACCUAUUUAUAGGUGAAAAUCUCACAACUUAAGGGCAAGUGAAGGGCCUAAUACUCAUUAAAACGGGUGCCAUUUAUGUGGGAGUUAUAGGUUUAAGAAGGUGCUAAAAAAUCAUGUAGGAAUUUGACUUUUCAUAUUCCACAUACUUCGGUUGAUACUAUACAACCUUUAGUAUUUCUAUCAUAACUUCUUCUCCCGAUACCUGAUUGAGGUAAUUCAAAGUGCAUUGGAAAGCUAACUCAAAGAGCUACAACUUUUCUUUAGAUAUCAUUUUUCAAAUCGAAUGUUUUCUAUGUCAUAAAUGUGUCUCAAAUGAGACUAAAAAUUUGAAGUAUACUUUAGCCAUCUAAUAUUCAUGUCUUAGUGUCACUAAAGUGUUUAAAAUUAUUUGGGGUUCUACAUUUAAUUAUUUCAGAUUUACCUUUUUAAAACAUCUCCUGUCUUCGUUCUGAAAAUGGAUGUAUUGAGAAUGAUUAUUCCAAGUUUAUAAUUGAACUUGAAAGUGAUAUUUGAGAAGACAAAUACCCUAUCCAAAAGAAAUAUAUAUAUAUAUUUGAAGAGAUAAAUAAAUAUUUGCUUAUUUCAUAAAAAAAUAUAUAUAUAUAUACACACACACACAUGUGUGUGUAUAUUUACCAACAUAUUCCACCAAAAUUAUAAACACACCAAAUAGAUAUAUUCAACUAAAACUAUUAACGCAAUGCAAGUUAGCAAGAAUAUUGUACCUGUGGUCUGUGGCUGUGUCCAUUUCCUUAACUAAUAUUCCAAUUCCCAAAGAUUAAAUAGCAACAAUAUGUGCUUCAGUAAUUUGUUUCAUCAUGAAUUAAGAAAUCAAAACCAAUAAACAAAAUCAUUCUAUAGAAGUAAUGAAAAGAGGGGGAAAACACAUUGGUUGAUUAUUUUAUUCAACUAAUAUGAAAAUCAGACACUUUAUCUGAUAGAAGCAGCCAAGAGAGUUACCAUAUUCACUGGAGGUCUGUCCAAAUCAAAAUUCUUGCAGUUAAGGUCUGUCCAAAUUACCAAUUGAGAGGUGCAAUGUUCAGUGAGGUCGAGAAGCGAUGGUCACAGCUGAACAACAAAGCCUGACCUUGAAAGAAUUGGUGAUAGAACUCAUGGAAGAUCAACAUUGGCAACUGGCAAGUUAAAAGGAAGAAUGGAUUAUGGAAGAUCGAUGGCGGCGGAGGCCUGAGAUCUAGAGGAAGAGCAAGAAGGAAAUAAAAAUUAGGGCUUGCUGCCUGAGUUGCUGGCUGACGAUGUUUAUAAAUGAUAAAUAUGGG